GGUAUAUUUGAAUAUUAAAGUAUAAAAUAAAAGAUUUGAAUUUGAUUUUAUUAUAAAUUGUUAAUAAAUGUAGAUUUUAAAUGAUAUCAUUUUAUUUAUUGAGAAUUUAUUCUAAAUAAUAUUAUUUUAAAAAGCAUUUUUAAUUGCACAAAAAUAAGUCUAAGCAUAACUUGGUAGUUAAAGGACUUACUUAGUAGACUUAGAUUCAAGGUUUCAUUUCUUCAAUUCCCAUAUUAAAAAAAAUCCACACUUAAACAAGAUUUUUUCAUAUUUAUAAGUUUAACAUAAAUUUGUGGCUCUAAUCAAUUUAUGAAAAUUUAUAAUUUUAUUAAGUUUAAAUUUUAAAUUGUUCAUCUUAA
RNAcentral lists this unclassified non-coding RNA (359 nucleotides) under Hevea brasiliensis (rubber tree). Lineage: Eukaryota; Viridiplantae; Streptophyta; Magnoliopsida; Malpighiales; Euphorbiaceae. The record is from RNAcentral.